CUAUUUUUAAGAGCCACGCGAAGGAAAAAAAAAAGGCAUUUCUUUCAUCUUAAAGAGACAGCGAGGAAGCCACGAAGAUAAUAGAGUGAUUUUCAAUCUCCAUUUUAAGGUAUUUUUUUUCAUUACUUAGCCAUUUAAUUAUUGUUUCUAUUUUAUAUUUUGCUGAUAUUUUUCAUUUGUUGUUUUGAUGGUUAGAUUUAUUUCGAAAGUGAUUGAUUUUUUGUGUUCUUUUUGUUUAUUUGAGCUUACAUUUUGAAGUUUUAGUUAAGAUUUAUUUGAUUUUCCAUCUCUCUUGAGUCCGAAUCGGAACACCUCAAUUUUUUGAUCUUAGUGUGCUUUUCAUUGAUCAAUGCCGUUAUUAAACCACAGAUCUUUAACUUGUUUUCCAUCUCCUUUUCUGCUUUUUUUUUUUACUUUAUUGUUCAUUCAUAAACACAGCUAUUUACUUUCGCUUAUUUUUUAAUAGAAAUUAUGAAAUCUAUUAAUAGUAAAGAAUAACGAAACUUGUCUUCUAAAGUUUUGGUUAAUGAUAUAUUAGUUAUUGUUUAUUGAAAGAAUGAGUUAUAACUUGAGUAGUAGCUGAUUUAUUCUUUCAUUCAGAUAUGAACAUGUUUUUUUUUUUGGAGGUAAGUGAGUGUUUUCUUUUUGCUUAAUUUCAUAUUUAAUUAAUUUUACACAAAUUAUUUUUUUCUAUAUAAGCAUAUUAAGAAGAUUCUAUUUAUUUAAGUACACGGUUUAAUUUUUUACAAAGGUAUCAAAUAUGCAUCAUCAAAGGCAUAUCCUACUGAUUCCGAUGAUGAAAUCCAAAAAUUCUAUUAAAAAGAAUAUUAUGGGAAUCCGGUUAUAAAAAAAAUGGACAAGACGAUUUAUUUAAAAUAAAAAUAAAAACAUGUUAUUGUCUUUAUCUUCAUUGUAAUUUUUUGGCAGUCUUUUUUCUGGAAUUUUCGUCUGUAGUUUUCAACUUGAUUUAAUUAUAUUUGCCACUUGCCGGAUACCGAUGAACAAUAUCAGCUGAUUCUUUUUGUUGUUUAACACUUUUAACUUUAAACUACAAGUCUAUAAAUCGACUCGUGAAUGAUUUUUCUAUUAAAAAUUAUGAAUAAACCCACCACUACUUGGGUAAGAAGUGAUCUGUGGCAGCGCUGUGAUUUGAUAAUUUAGACGGACGGUUUGAUUUUGGUCACGGUGACUGCAUCCCGUGAUUUAACACAUGCUUUUCUAAAAUGCCGUGUCGUUAUGGGUAUGUGCCUGCUCCUAAGGGUGCAAUCAUAGACUGUGCUUGUUAUUUUUAGUUUUAAAUAUGUAUAAAUAUAAUAUAGUUAUAUGUCAGAACAAAUAUACAUGCCAACAUUCUAACCACUAUUUCUUUCAAAAAAUAUUGUAUAAAAAAACAUUUCAACUAAAGUAAUAUGUGAUAUACUUGACAAUUAUUAAUUUUACUCCAGUAAAAAUAUAUUAAACAUUUUUCAUGCAUAAAUACUAAUAUGAAAAGCAUGAGUAGGGUCGUGUAGAUUACGUUUACCGCCAAACCUGGCAAAACUACUGGCAGUGGAAUUCGUUAAAACUAGAAUUUCAAUUUAUAUAAAAUUUUUUAAGGUGCAAUAAUGUGACAUGAAUGUAUUAAUAUUAAUUACUUAUGUUUCAAAUUUUGAAUAAAUUUAUAAUACUUUAAAUAAAAACUUGAUAAUAUUUUUUAUUAAUAAAUAAUGGCCAUAAUGGUAAUGCGCAUUGUACUCAUAGGAAAAAAAGCUUAAAUUUAAAUUUUAGAGUUUACAUUAUUAGAAAAGAUAUUCACAAACCUUGAAAGGGUUAAUAUUCAUAGAUAGUAAAAUAGAUAUGGAAGAUACAUUAGUUCUAUAAAGAUGAUAAUUCCUUUAAAUUAAACUACUAUACUUAAACGGUAGAGCCAAGUAGAGGCCAGGAGGGUCAUGACCUCAAGGUUUAAUUUUUUUUUUAAUUUAGUAGUUUGUAAAUAUACUAUGGCUCUUUGUAAAUAAACUAUGGCUCUUUCAAAAAUAUAAGUAGGCCCCCUAAAGGUUUAAGAUUUUUGUAAUUUCUCUUUUUGUAUAUAUAUUAUAGCCCUCUUUAAAAUAUAAGUAGGCCCCUCCAAUAUUUUUAUUGUAUUAAAAAUAAUAUUAAAAAAAUUAUUCUUGAUAAAAAUAAAGAAAAAUCUUCUUGAAGAAACUAAAUUACUCAUGAUGACUUUUAAAUUAUAUUUUUGUUAAAUAUUUAUUAAAUAUUUUACUUAAAAUAAUAAUAUUUUAUAAGUAAUAUAAUAAUAUAUAUAAAGAAAAGAAAAAAUGAACAAACUUUUAUCAAUCUUUUUCUUUCAUAUUGGUGUGUAGCAAGAAAAGAAAAAAAAACUUCAUAAUUUUUCCUCUAAAUUUUAAGUAUAAGGUAUGUUUUUCUUCAAAAUUUUCAUAUAUUUUGAAUCUUUGAAGCUUGUUUUACAUAUAUAUACCAAUAAUUUUUUAUUUUAUUAAGUGUAUUGAAAGGUGCCAUUAAAAGAUAUUGAUGAAAACUUAUUUUAAAUUAAUUGUUUAUAUAUUUAAAUCGAUUAUUAUGUAACAUAUCUAAUUUUAAUUUAACCCAAAAUUAACAUCCUGCCACUGACUAUACUAAAUUAUGCAAAAAUAAAUUAUAAUUAUAAUCUCUACAAAACAUAAUAAGAAUUAGUAUAAAACAUCAUAGGAAAAUUUUCCUCUAAAUUAAAUCAAAAUUACUAAAAAAAAACAUUAAAAUCAUUAUAUAUUACCCAAAAAAUAUUUCAAAAAGUUUUAAACAAAUUCUUCUAAAUUAUAAGGACAAUUGUCCAACCAUAAUGAGUUGUCCAGAAAAAAAAAACUAUGCUUUUAUGGAUUGUAUUAUAUUGAUAUGUUUUCGAAAAUUAGAUUAAUGUUUUUGAACAUAAUAUUUAUAUAAGUUAUAUCAAUAUAGCCUAUAAAAUAUGUAUAAUAAUCCAAAAAAUUGUUUAAAAUAAUGAAAUUAGAGUUAAAAAUUUUAUGAAUAUACAAAAUAUAAAAUUAAUUAAGAUAUGAUACAAACACAAGUUGAGAAAAAUAAUUUAUACAUGACAUGAAACAAAAAAUAUUAACAAAAUAUGAAUAUAUGAUCAUGUCAAAAUCUAUAUAAAACGAAUUAUUUAUGUUAAAAUUUAUGUAAAAUUCUAAUACUCUGAAAAAAAAAAUCAUAAAUGUGAAUACAUCAUGAACAUAAAUAUAUUUUAAAAAUGAAUCACUAAAAUAAAUUAUAAAAAAUAUAUAUGUAAUAAAUUUCAACAGAACAAUGCACAUAAAUUUUUUUUCUGAAGUGAAUAACAUUAAUAAUUUUGAAAAAUCUUACAAAAAGUAAAAUGAAUAUAAUAUGAAUAUAUAAACAUGUAAAAUAUAUACAUAAAAUAAAAUAUUAAUAUAUAUAAAUAAACGAAAAAAUAGCUUAAUAUAAAACAUGUAAAAUAUUAUACAUAAAAUAAAAUAUUAAUAUAUAUAAAUAAACGAAAAAAUAGCUUAAUAUAAAAUAACAUAAAACAAUUUCUCAUUUUUCCUCCAUCAUAAUUUACUUUAACUAACCUCAAAUUAAUAGUUAAUGGCAUUAUAUAUGUGUCACAAGCUGUAAUCCCCUUAGUUUUAAAUUAAGCAAUCUCAUGCAAUGGGAUUGUUUUUAUAGUAGGUAUAUAGAUGUUCGUGUGCAUUGCUUAAAAAAUUACCUAAAUAUAUCUUUUUAAAUUUAGAUUUUAUUUUUAUAUUUUAAUUAUAAUUUAUGGAGAAUUUUUUUUAUCAAAUUUAAGUGUUAACAUUUAAAAUAAAAUCAGGUUGGAGACUAUAGAAGGCAUAAAAAUCUGAAUGGCUGACUUGUCCAAUUGCCAUUGCCAUUGUCAUUGCGAUUCCUAUUCAUAUUACUUUACCUCAUUUUUCACUAACAGUUUUAAUUUAAAAUUGUAAAUAAUAUAUAAUAGUACAAUAUACAUAUAUAAUAUUUUAUUGUAUAUGAUUUUAAUACAUAUGCUAAAAUACAUAAAAUAUUUAGAGAGAAAUAUAAUAAUCUUAAAAAAGAAAAAUAAGAUCAGGUAAAUCUAUUACUUAUAUCUAGACUUAUCCAUGAAUCAAAUAGUCCGUCCAACUUGAUAGGCUUAGUCUAAUUUGACCUAGGCUUGAACAAGAUAUUUUUUUUUUGUCUCGGCCUAGGUUAAUGUUAAUACCCCAAAUCAAUUUGUUGGACGAUCGACCAUGCCAGAAUGCUAGUCGAAUAGACUUUAGACUUGGCAUACUUAUUGCCUGAGUUUUAAAUAUUUUAUCACUUCGUGUGCUAUUCACAACGCUUUAGACCAAAAUGAAUACUACUCUUAUAAAUAUUUCCUCAUUCAUGUGCAUAAUAUUAAUUACAUACACAUCAUAGUUGAAACAAGUCUUUCAAAAUUUACAAUUCAUGAGCUAAGAUUAUAGAUCGCCUUAAUAUAUACACGUUAAAUCCCAAAAAUUGCUAGGCUUUUGGCUUAGUCCCACCCCCAAAGUUCAAAAUAGCUUUUUUUACCUGAUGAACUCAAGAGUUCGCAUGAUGUUUGCUUACCUAUACAUACAACUCGCAUGGAAUAUAAUUCGCACAUAAAGCCAACUAAUAUGUUAAACAAUUCACGUAUAAAUAUAAGCAACACGCAUACAAUACAUUUCACUCAAAUAGACAGUUCACUUUCACUCUCUGCGAACAUAUGUGUUACGGUAAGUCUAGGUGGAUUUCCCCACUGCAGAAUUAUACUAGGUGUAAAACCUUUAUGAAAAUAUACUUGGCUACCAUACACCAGACACAUGCUUGUGAAUUCACACUUGUGGCUUCAUGUCUAUGAACUCAUACCUGCAAAUUAGGUUUGUGGAUUAAUAUUUGAGCUCGUAUAUACCUAAGCAUUUGCCUGCCAUCCUGGAGACGAACUUGUUGAGCAUAACCACCCUCCCCUUUAAACACUGAAUAUCCUUGCUAGUUCUUGGAGGAGGCAUAUCCAAAAUAGCUUGAAUCUUUUCUCGAUUCGCUUCUAUUCUUCUCUGUAAAACCAAAAAGCCUAAGAAUUUGCCUGCUUUUACAUCAAAAACACAUUUCUCCAGGCACAAUUUCAUGCUAUGAGCUCGCAAAACAGAAAAAGCCUCUGAAAAAUCCUGAACAUGCCCCUUAGGUUAGAGCUCUUUACCAAUAUGUCAUUAACGUAAACCUCACUGUGCGCAAUUUGCUUUCUAAAAAUUUUGUUAAAUAAUCUCUAGUAAGUUGCCCUUGCGUAUUUCAAACUAAAAGGUAUAACUCAAUAGCAAAACAAACAUUCUUCUAUGAUAAAAGUUAUUUUGUCUUGAUCUUUUGAGGCCAUAGAUAUUUGGUUAUAACUCGAAAAUGCAUCCAUAAAACUAAUAAAUUUAUGCCCCGAGGACGCAUACACCAAAUCAUCAAUCGAGGGUAAAGGAAAAUUGUCCUUGGGGCAAGCUUUGUUAAGGCUGGUGAAGUCAAUACUCAUUAUCUAUUUCCCAUUAGCUUUCUUCACUAUCACUACAUUCGAACCCAAUCAGGAUACGCCACCUCUCUGAUGAACUUCGCUAAAAGCAGUUUCCCUACCUUUUGUUUUAUGGCCUUUACAACCCGAGGAGCAAAUUUUUUUCUACUUAACUAGUUUAACCUCAGGAAACACAUUUAACCUAUGAACAACCAUUUGAAGGUCCACCUCAGGCAUAUUCGCAGUCGACCACGCAAAAACAUUGGAAUUCACUGUUAAACACUGAAUCAAGUCUUAUUUUUCCUCCUCUGCCAAUGUUGAAGAAAUUUUUAUAAACUUGUUCGUAUUAUCAUAAAAUAACUAUAAAUUUUCUGUGACCUCUGCCCCUUCUGGCUUCCUAAUUCUUUCCUUACCUCAAACAUCCAAACUAUCCAAAUCCGAAACUUGAUCAACCACUCUUGUCUGUCAUGAAAAUUGCCAUGCAGCACUUGCUCGCGUGUUUGCUUGACUGAUAACAUGUGACACUAUCUAGCUGCCUGUUGAUCAAAUUUCAUAAAGCUUUUCCUUGUUCUUAUAGGAAAUUUAAUCUUCAUACAGAAUGGUGCAACCAUUAUCUUAGCCAUUCUCAUGAUGGGACGCCCAAAAUGGUAUUAUAGGCCAUUGGAUAGUCUACCACAAAGAACUAUACAUAUUUUGUCGUGGUGUGUUUGUUGUCCCCCAAUGUAACGAGUAAAGUAAUGCAUCCCUUUAACUUCAUAGAAUGGUUUGUAAAACUAUACAAUAGACUUGCCCUCCUUAAAACUUGCUCUUUCAAACUCAUUUUCUGGUAAGCAUCCCAAGUUAACAACUCCACAGCACUGCCACUAUCAACCAAUAUUCUCUUCACCUCAAACCCUGUUAUAAUUGCUACACAACCAUUAGGUCAUUUCCUUCUUCAUCACACAUCAUGCUUUCAUCUUCAUUGUUAAAUUCCACCUUCCAUUUUUCUUGUUGACGCAACCCUUUUUAGUAAGCUGAUUGACAUUACGCUUUUAAGGUGAGCCUUUUUCUUUGUGUUAGAGGUCACCUAGUCUUCAUCAGUAACAAUUAUCACAUGUAUUGUUCCCAUAACCUUUUGCUUGCCAUUGUCCUCACCUAGCAAACUCUGACCUGAAGGAGUAGUAUCUUGAGCUAUAAAAUCUUUUAACUCGUCAUUCUUAAUUGCUUCUUCAAUAGCAUCAUUUAGAGAAGAGCAAUCCUCAAUCUUAUGUCCUCCGUCGUUGUGAAAAUUACAUUUAUCCCUCAAGUUUGACCUCGAUACAUUACGUCGUAUGGGUGGAGGACUUAGCAAGAUGCCCAAACUUUUAACCUAGCUAAGGAUAUAGGAACGAGUAGCAUUUAAUGGAGUAUAAGUUUCAAAUCUUCUAUGAAGGGCAUACUUUCUUAUGUGUUUAGGUUGAGAUAUUUGAAAUACUCUCGACGAUUCAUUUUGUGAAUAACUCCUCUGUUGUCCCUCGCUUUGUACUACAAGCCGUUCUAUUAAUUUCCUCUACUUCAACAAACUUAUGGGCCCUCUUAUACUGUAACACCCUUUAAUCCCAAACCGUCCCCGGAAUAGGGUUACAGGGCAUUACCGAAAAUAGACAAACUUUAUUAUUAUAAAUCGAAAAUAACCACAAAAUUAUACUCAAAAUAAGGUUAAUUACCCUUAUAGAGGUUCUACGGACCUAAUAUGAACCUUUCGUGGGGUUAGGAUUCGAAUCCUAACUCUACAGGCCUCCUUGAAACACUAAACACAAUUAUACAAACCAAUCCAAUUCACUUCUACAUAACAUGUAACUAUAUACCAUUCAUUUCAUAAACUUAGGAAUCGUCCCUUUAUACGUCAAACUCCUUAAAGUUUAUACACCAUCUUUUACAUUCAAAACAUUAAAUAUAUACAAAUGGCCACCUAAAACCUAGUACAUGCCACAUUACCAAAAGAUAAGAUUUUUACCACAAAAUGAGUUGGAGUUGGAGAUGAUUUUGAAUGCAGAACCGAACUCUAUUUUACCUAACCUGCGCACGAAAAACAACCGUACGCUGAGUAUUGAAAAUACUCAGUGGUAUUAUCAUAAUUCAAUUCAUAACAUCAAAUCAAGUUCAAAACAUAAAUGCACAAGUAGUCAAUUGAAUAUGCCAAUUCAUGUCAUAUUAAUGACAUUCAAAUGAUUAUAAAAUUUUCACCAACAUGUAAACACUUAAUUCAUAACACUUUCAUGUAUACAUAAUUCAUAAACAUAAAGUUCAUGCUUCAACUUCACAACACAAUUUCUUUUCACAUUUCGUAUCAUCAUUUUCUUUCACCUUUCAUUCGAUAAUUCAGAUAAUUUUGCUCAUUUCACUUAUAGGCCCUAUUAACCUGACUCGGACCAAGGUGGAUACGCGGAUCCAACCAAACACACCAGAGUGGCGACCAACGCCUUAUCGGAUAGUUCGAAGUAAAUCAGAUCUAUGGCACACCAAGUACCUCAUCGGCCAAGCCGAAGCAAUGUGGCUACCAAAGCCUCAUCGAAACUAUCCGAAGUAAAUCUAUGGCACACCGAGUGCCUCAUCGACUCGAGGUCGAAGAAUCCCUGAACACUUCCAAUCCUAUGGCAUGCCAAUUAUAUCCACUAAGCCCGACUAGUUAAUAGGGUUUCGAUCAUAUUUCCAUUUCCGAAACAUUUUCACAUUUCAAUCAAUUCUCUUAUAUUUCUCAAUGUAAUCACAACUAAUCAACAAUUCACAUUCAAGUCAUUUUCACGCACAUUCAUAUAUAUAUAUUAGAAUUAAAUAUGCAAUAAUAAAUACUAUGAAUUAUGAUAAUACAAACCAAUUUUCCUCGAGCUAUUCCUCGAUUACUUUCUCUUUCCCCUUUGUAUUGGAUGCCUCGGUUCCUUUGUUUGCUACGAAAAUUAGCAUAAUUAUAAUAAAUUAAUAUAAUACAAUCCAAUUUAAUUCAUGAGUAUAAACAUGCAAAUUUGACCCUUUUUUUUAAGAUAUAUAAUUUCACCAUUAAGCUGUCUGUUUGAGUCAUUGUUACUAAAUUAUUUAUAUCUUGAGCUAAGAAACUCCAAAUUAAUAUCCAUAAAUUUUUUUUGAAACUAGACUCAUAUAUCUUAUCACCAUAAAAUUUUCAGAACUUUUGGUCUAGCCAAUUAGUACAGUUUAUUCAUUAAAUACUCCCCUGUUACUCCAUUCGACAGUUCUGACCUCUCUCUACUAAAAAUCAAUUAUCUCAUUGUACAGAACUCGAAUAAGGUUCUUAUUUAUUUAUUUUAAAACUAGAUUCAUUAAGGAGUUCACACAUAUAAAUUAAACUCCAUAAUAAUUUUUUACAAUUUUUAAUGGUUUUCCAAAGUCAAAACAGAGUGUCUCGAAAUCACCCUGAACCAGUCUUUCAAAAUUUCAAAUAUCUCUCGAUUCAUAAAUUCAUUGCUUACACUGUUUCCACUAUAAGAAACUAGACCCAAUAAGCUUUAAUUUCAUAUCUUAUCCAUCCUCUAAUUCAAUUCCUACAAUUUUUAGUGAAUUUUCAAAGUCAGACCAUUGCUACUUCCCAAAACUGUUUUGAUGUAAAAUGCUAAUAACCAAGUUUAUAACACCAAUUCACACCUUAUUUCUAUUCAAUUUCCAUCAAAAUAUUCAUAUAACUAUCAAAUUUUCAUCAUUUUUCUAUAAUUCCGAAUUUCUUUCAAUUUAAUUCCUAAAACUCAAAAUUUAUGGCUUGUUUUACAAUUAAGUCCCUAAUUCCAUUCAAAUUCAAAACUUUAUCCAAUUAAUCCCUGAUUUCAUCAUUUCAUCAACAUAAACCCUAAUCAAACCUUCAUUAAUUUUCAAUAUUUUCUCAUGAAUUCAAGAAAAUCUUUCUCUAAAGCUUCAAAAAUACCAAAAUUAGAAAGCAAAAGGGCUUAAUUAACUUACCAAUUUAACUUUCAAGCUUCAAUUCUCCAAUUUUUCCUUUUUCUUUCUUCCUUUCCUUUCUUUUUCUGUUUCGUGAGCUUCUCUGUUCUUUUCUAUCUUUCUUUUUCUUUUAUUUCCUUUUUAUUUACUUUACUUUUAAUAAUAAUAAUUUAAUAUAUAUUUUAACACAUAAAAAUCUCAGAUUUUUAUGUUUAUGCCGCCUCACUUAGGACAAAUGGCAUAAUUACCAUUUUGGUCCUUUUUAUUUUCUUUUAAUCUAUAAUUCAACUUUCACACUUUAUUCAAUUUGGUCCUUUUACUUAGUCACUCUUAAUUAAAUUAAAUUCACUUAAUUAAACUCUAAUUUAACUCAUAAUUAUCCUCAUAAAUAUUUUUAAUAAAUAUUUACGGACUUAAUUUCCUAAGACGGAGGCCCUACGACUCUUUUUCCGGUGCCCGGGAAUUUGGGUCAUUACAUUUCUCUCCCUCUAAAAAAAAAAAUUCGUCCUCGAAAUUUACCUGAGAAUAGGUGAGGGUACUGAGUUCUCAUGGUUUCUUCCGGUUCCCAUGUUGCUUCUUCCAUUUUAUGACUUCUCCAAAGUACUUUUACUAAAGGAACUCUUUUAUUUCUUAAUUCCUUUACCUCUCAGGCUAAAAUCUCAACUGGUUCUUCUUUGAAUGAUAAAUCCGGUCGAAGCUCAAUAUCCUCAGUAGUUAUGACAUGAGAAGGAUCUGAUCGAUAUCUUCGGAGCAUUGAAACAUGAAAAACAUCGUGUACUUUCUGUAACUCUGGAGGUAAAGCUAACCGAUAAGCCACUGGUCCAAUUCUCUCUACUAUCUCAUACGGUCCAAUGAAACGAGGACUCAAUUUACCUUUCCUGCCAAAUCUCAACACUUUCUUCCAAUGAGAGACUUUAAGAAAUACUUUAUCGCCAACCGAAUACUCAAUGUCCUGUCGUUUUAAAUCGGCAUAAGACUUCUGUCUAUCAAAAGCUGCUUUUAAUCUCUCUUGUAUCUUCUUGACUGUUUUUUCAGUUUCUUGGAUCAAUUCUGGCCCAAUCACUUUUCUUCCAUUCAGCUUUGUCCAACACACGGGUGAUCUACAUCUUCGUCCAUAUAAUGCUUCAUACGGAGCCAUUUGAAUACUAGAUUGGAAACUAUUAUUAUAAACAAAUCUAGCUAAAGGCAAAUAACGUUCCCAACCUGAUUCAAACUCCAUAAUACAAGCUCGAAGCAUAUCUUCUAAAAUUUGAAUUACCCGUUUAGAUUGUCCGUCAGUUUGCGGAUGAAAUGCUGUGCUAAAAUUAAGCUGUGUACCUAAGGAUUCAUGUAAUUGCCUCCAAAAUCUCGAUGUGAACCGAGGAUCUUGAUCUGAAAUUAUUGAUUCCGGAAUACCGUGUAGUCUAACAAUUUCUCGGAUAUAUACCUCAGCAAGUCUCUGUAACAACCAAUCUGUUCUAACUGCUAUAAAAUGUGCUGACUUAGUAAGUCUAUCGACUAUCACCCAAAUAGCAUUCUUUUUACUCGCUGACAACGGUAGUCCCAUAACAAAAUCCAUCGUGAUACGAUCCCAUUUCCAUUCAGGAAUAUUAACAGGCUGAAGUAAACCAGUCGGUACCUGAUGUUCUGCCUUUACCCGUUGACAUGUAAGGCAUUUACUAACAUAUUCAACUAUGUCUCUUUUCAUUCCGGGCCACCAAUACAAAUUUCGUAAAUUACGAUACAUUUUUGUACCUCCGGGGUGUAGAGCAAAUGAGCCAUCAUGUGCUUCUCGAAGUAUUAGUUCUUUCAAUUCAGAGUUAUCUGGAAUACAAACUCAAUCUUGGUACCUUAAGCAUCCAUGUGCAUCAAUACUGAAGUUCUCUAGUGUACCACUCUGUAUCAUCUCUCUUUUCUUCACCAACUUAUCAUCUCCCAACUGAGCUGCUCUAAUCUGCUCAAGUAUUACCGGUUUUACUUUUAACUCGGCUAACAGAUUUCCAUCAUCAGUGAUACUGAGCUGUGCAAACAUGACUCUUAACUCAAUUGCCGUUUUUCUACUCAAUGCAUCCGCUACUAUAUUUGCUUUUCCCGGAUGGUAGUCUAUAACACAAUCAUAUUCUUUCAAGAUCUCGAUCCACCGUCUCUGUCUCAAAUUCAAUUUUUUUUGGGAAAGAAGAUACUUUAGACUUUUAUGAUCAGUGAAUAUGUAGCAUUUUUCACCAUAAAGAUAAUGCCUCCAAAUCUUCAAAGCAAAAAUCACAGCUGCUAACUCCAGGUCAUGUGUCAGAUAAUUACACUCGUGUGGUUUCAACUAACGAGAUGCAUAAGCAAUAAAUUUUCCAUCUUGCAUCAGUACACAACCAAACCACUUAAAGAAGCAUCACUGUACACAAUAAAAUCCUUUCCUGAUUCGGGUAAUGUUAAAACUGGUGCCUCGGUUAACAUUUGUUUCAAUGUCUCAAAACUCUUCUGACAUUGGUCAUCCCAUAUAAAAGAAACAUUCUUCUGUAGCAACUUAGUCAUCGGCAUGGCUAUUUUCGAGAAUCCAUUUACAAAUCUUCUAUAAUAUCCAGCCAAACCAAGAAAACUACGUACCUCAUACACAUUCCUUGGAGCUUUCCAUUGAACUAUGGCUUCAAUUUUCUUUGGAUCAACUCUGAUUCCUUCCGCUGAUACUACAUGUCCUAGAAAUACAACCUCUGAUAACCAGAACUCACAUUUACUAAAUUUCCCAUACAAUUGCUUUUCUCGCAAAGUCUGUAACACUGUUUUGAGGUGCUUAUCAUGCUCUGUUUCUGUCUUUGAAUAAACAAGUAUAUCAUCAAUGAAGACCACAACAAAUUGAUCCAAAUACGGCUGAAAUAUACGGUUCAUCAGAUCCAUAAAAGCAGUUGGAGCAUUAGUCAAUCCAAAUGGCAUUACUAAAAAUUCAUAAUGACCAUACCUCGUACAGAAAGCUGUCUUCGGUACAUCACAUUCUUUUACUUUCAGUUGGUAGUAACCCGAUCUCAAGUCUAUCUUUGAGAAUACAGAAGCUCCUUUCAGCUAAUCAAAUAAAUCAUCAAUACGAGGGAGUGGAUAUUUGUUCUUGAUUGUUACUUUAUUCAAUUGUCUAUAAUCAAUACAAAGUCGCAUCGAACCAUCUUUCUUUUUAACAAAUAAUACCGGAACUCCUCACGGUGAAAUACUCGGCCGAAUAAAACCACGAUCUAAUAAAUCUUGCAACUGUAUCUUUAACUCCUUCAAUUCAGUAGGUGCCAUACGAUAAGGAGGUAUAGAAAUCGGAGCAGUACCCGGAUAAACCCCUAUAGCAAAUUCAACUUCUCUGUCAGGUGGUAAACCCGGUAGUUCCUCUGGAAAAACAUCUGGAAAUUCGUAAACUGUUUGGAUCUUACUGCAUGGACUACCCACUGUAUCUGAAUUAAUAACAUAAGCUAAGUAUGCUGUACAACCCUGCUGUAACAUCUUACUAGCUUUCAUUGUUGAGACAACACGUGUUGUUCCACUAUUUUGAAUACCCUUUACCUCAAUAUUGUUUCCAUCAUCAGCCUGAAUACUGAACUUCUUUUCAUAGCAGUCUAAAAUUACACCGUGCUCAGACAACCAAUCCAUACCCAAUAUUACAUCAAAGUCUCCAAAUGGCAUAAUCAAUAGAUUAACCGGAAAAAUUUUAUUUUGUAUAACCAACGAGCAUCUUGGACAAACUUGAUUUACUAAUACCGUCUGUCCUAACGGACUUGACACUUCUAUUGCUACACUAGACAUCUCAAAUUCUAAUUUUCCCAAUUCAACCAAUUUUGAAUUUACAUAUGAAUGCGAAGACCCAGGGUCAAUUAAAACAUAAACAGGUUCGGAAUACAAUAAGAAUAUACUUGUUACAACAUCAUGUGCAUCCCUCUCUUCUCGAGUUCUGACCAAAUAAACUCUAGCUGGAACUCUGGCCUCUGACUGCUGUGUAACAACAUCACUACUUCCUCUAGCACUACCUCCUCGAGAUGAAAAACCACCUCUGCCCAAUCCUCUGCCUCUGGCAGUAGAUACUGAUCUCUGUAAUGUCGCAGGUGCAGUAUUAUCAGCUUUCGGGCAGUCUUUAAUAAAAUGUUCUGUAGAUCCACAUCUGAAACAUCCUCUAGUCAAUCGCCAACAUUCACCUCCGUGUCUUCUCCCACAAUGCUCACAUUCUGGAAUAAUAGUAUCUCGAGAUGGACCUCUUACACUACCAGUAGAGACUGUAGUUUGCUUCCCCUGACUCUUUCCUCAUCUAUCUGAUCUGAAGCUAGAUCUCCAACCACUUCUAAAGUCUCGAAAUCUUUUCAAUAAUGGAUUCAAAAUUGUAGUUCCCGUACGUUUCCCAACCGAUUUAGAAGGUUCAGUCUUUUUAUCAAGCCCCAGAACUUGUUCUAUCAUCUUAGCCUGUUCUAUCAGAUCAACAAAUUCAGUAAUUCACUGAUAUAUCAGUAACAUUUUUAUUUCUUCUCUUAGUCCCCGUAAGAAUCUUUUACAACUGUCGGCUUCAGUCGGUAUAAACUCUGAUGCAUAUCUACCAAGUCUUGAAAAUUCCCGUUCAUACUCUAUUACUGUCAUUUCACCUUGUUUCAAAGUCAGAAAUUCUUGUUUCUUGUUUUCAAUAUAUAUUUCCCCGAUAUAUUUCUUUUGAAACUCUUUCUGAAAUAAAUUCCAUGAUACCUGAUCAGUCGGCAAGUGUCGGAUAACAGAUUCCCACCAUAAAUAUGCCUCACCCUGUAAUAGAGAUACAGCACACAACAGACUUUCUCGGGGAGUACACUCUAACUGUUGUAAAAUUCUUUUUGUCGCUUCUAUCCAAUUCUCAGCUACUAAUGGAUCAACACCUUUCAGACCCGAAAAUUCUGUGGCACCGUAUUUUCUCAAUUUCUUAAUCGGGGCCCGUCUAGGAAUAGGUAUAGAUGUGGUAGCAGGUACAGUUCCCGCUACUUGCUGGAGAGCAUCAACUAAAACUCUUAACAUAUCAGGUUCAUUUCUACAUUUUUCAUCUAUUUCCCUAAUGUUUUCUUCUUCUACCUCGGGAGGUUGGUCUAUAAACGGGUUCACACUAGGUGUGGCUGAUUCACUUUCAUUUAAAUCAAUUGAUCGAUCAUCUGACAUCUUUAAUCUCUAUAAAACAUAAACAAUUAAAUAGGUUAGCAUUCAAAAAUCCCGACUCAAUUCCAACUCAAAUGUGGCAUGUACUUCUAGACUCACUUACGAAUUCGAUUUUAAUCUAAGAAUCGGCUAAACCUAUAGCUCUGAUACCACUAAAUGUAACACCUUCUAACCCCAAACCGUCCCCGGAAUAGGGUUAUAGGGCAUUACCGAAAAUAGACAAACUUUAUUAUUACAAAUCGAAAAUAACCACAAAAUUAUACUCAAAAUAAGGUUAAUUACCCUUAUAGAGGUUCUACGGACCUAAUAUGAACCUUUCGUGGGGUUAGGAUUCGAAUCCUAACUCUACAGGCCUCCUUGAAACACUAAACACAAUUAUACAAACCAAUCCAAUUCACUUCCACAUAACAUGUAACUAUAUACCAUUCAUUUCAUAAACUUAGGAAUCGUCCCUUUAUACGUCAAACUCCUUAAAGUUUAUACACCAUCUUUUACAUUCAAAACAUUAAAUAUAUACAAAUGGCCACCUAAAACCUAGUACAUGCCACAUUACCAAAAGAUAAGAUUUUUACCACAAAAUGAGCUGGAGUUGGAGAUGAUUUUGAAUGCAGAACUGAACUCUAUUUUACCUAACCUGCGCACGAAAAACAACCGUACGCUGAGUAUUGAAAAUACUCAGUGGUAUUAUCAUAAUUCAAUUCAUAACAUCAAAUCAAGUUCAAAACAUAAAUGCACAAGUAGUCAAUUGAAUAUGCCAAUUCAUGUCAUAUUAAUGACAUUCAAAUGAUUAUAAAAUUUUCACCAACAUGUAAACACUUAAUUCAUAACACUUUCAUGUAUACAUAAUUCAUAAACAUAAAGUUCAUGCUUCAACUUCACAACACAAUUUCUUUUCACAUUUCGUAUCAUCAUUUUCUUUCACCUUUCAUUCGAUAAUUCAGAUAAUCAGAUUCAGAUAAUUUUGCUCAUUUCACUUAUAGGCCCUAUUAACCUGACUCGGACCAAGGUGGAUACGCGGAUCCAACCAAACACACCAGAGUGGCGACCAACGCCUUAUCGGAUAGUUCGAAGUAAAUCAGAUCUAUGGCACACCAAGUACCUCAUCGGCCAAGCCGAAGCAAUGUGGCUACCAAAGCCUCAUCGAAACUAUCCGAAGUAAAUCUAUGGCACACCGAGUGCCUCAUCGACUCGAGGUCGAAGAAUCCCUGAACACUUCCAAUCCUAUGGCAUGCCAAUUAUAUCCACUAAGCCCGACUAGUUAAUAGGGUUUCGAUCAUAUUUCCAUUUCCGAAACAUUUUCACAUUUCAAUCAAUUCUCUUAUAUUUCUCAAUGUAAUCACAACUAAUCAACAAUUCACAUUCAAGUCAUUUUCACGCACAUUCAUAUAUAUAUAUUAGAAUUAAAUAUGCAAUAAUAA
RNAcentral lists this long non-coding RNA (15891 nucleotides) under Gossypium barbadense (sea-island cotton). RNAcentral's name for it is "long non-coding RNA (GBAR_LNC000534)". The record is from RNAcentral. Lineage: Eukaryota; Viridiplantae; Streptophyta; Magnoliopsida; Malvales; Malvaceae.